UUAUAGCUUAGUGGCGGACGGGUGAGUAACGCGUGAGCAACCUGCCUUUCAGAGGGGGAUAACGUUUGGAAACGAACGCUAAUACCGCAUAAGACCACACUUCCACAUGGGAGAGGGGUCAAAGGAGCAAUCCGCUGAAAGAUGGGCUCGCGUCCGAUUAGAUAGUUGGGGGGGUAACGGCCCACCAAGUCGACGAUCGGUAGCCGGACUGAGAGGUUGAACGGCCACAUUGGGACUGAGACACGGCCCAGACUCCUACGGGAGGCAGCAG
Molecule: ribosomal RNA, 271 nt
Filed under: uncultured bacterium
Lineage: Bacteria
Description: partial 16S ribosomal RNA
Rfam family: Bacterial small subunit ribosomal RNA
Source: RNAcentral